This 1360-nucleotide long non-coding RNA is filed under the name Linum usitatissimum (flax). RNAcentral's name for it is "long non-coding RNA (LUSI_LNC002794)". The record is from RNAcentral. Lineage: Eukaryota; Viridiplantae; Streptophyta; Magnoliopsida; Malpighiales; Linaceae.
AUAAUUCUAGUUAUAAGAGAGAAAAGAAUACAUUAAUUUUAAUUACUAACAAUGGGGAUUCAUGACUAAUACCUAAUUGAAUUCUAAUUAUAAGUUACCAAUUUAAAUAAAAUAUUUCACCUAUAAAAUUAUGAAUAAAGUAAAGAUCCUAAUAUCGUCUUGAAAGAUUACUAUCAUCCUAACCCGAUUAGAAUUGAUUCUAGGAUUUAAAGAGUUAUGAAAUUCAUUUUGGGUGCAUUCUGUCAGAACUGGAAAGUUACAUGAUGUGACAGUAACAACAAAUAAUUUGAUGGACGAAUUGUCAGGUCUUAAAAGAGUGGUACUAAACUGUAUGUAACUAAUACUAAGGGAAAUGAGAUGCUAAUGCCCUAAAGUUCAGUAACUGAUUAGGAAAUUCUAAGACAUGGGGUACUGAUUCAUACAAAUUCAUAACCGAACAAGAAAUGGUCAAACCGAACUGGGCUGACCCAGAUUCGGUCCAACCGAUGCCAUUGACCCAGAUAAGGAGAUGAACAUCGAUGAGUAGCCGGAUUCCAGCAAGUCAACUACCGAUUCCGGCGAACAACAUACAUUAGUUAAACUCGAUCGAAAGCUUGAGUAAAUCAUCCGGAUCAGUUCCUGAUCUAGUUCCGAAUCUAUUCGGGGAAGUUAGAGAUCCUGGGUCGUUCUCAAAGGCCAUGGAUCGAAAUUCUUAUAGCGUCAUUGGUAUCCUCGAUUUUUUUCUGGAAACGGAUAAGAACUUUCAAUCAAAAGACUCAUCCCUUGCAUCGACUACUAGAAACAUUAGUAAGGGAAGAACAAUAAGAAUCCCUUACCUAAGGCAGAACAGAGCAAUGAUUGAUUGGGGUGAUCGACUCUGUAUUUUCGUCGUUGAGCCUCGAGAAUGUCCGUGCAUGAUUUCUGGAAAUGGAGCAACAAGGUAUAAGGUUCGUCCGCCGGUUCUAGGAUUGAAUAGAAUUCAGAAAGAAAGAGGAACGCUAGACUUUUCCCUUACCUAGAACGAGCUCGUGGAUUCAAGUUUCAGUGUCGCCGUCGACGAGAUUACAGAGGAGAUGAUAACAGUUGUUUUCGAUUUCGUGAGAGCAGGAAUAGAUAGGGUGACGAUUUGAUGAUUAUAUAAUCGAUCAGAGGGUGAGGGAAAGGAAAUAUGAAUCGUCAUUGACAAUCCGAAUUUGAGAAAUAAGGGAAUUCGAUCCUGGAUGAUGGAAAUUUUCUCAUCGGCGAUGGAAAGUUGGAAACUGCCUGGAGGAGAUGAUGAUGACAUCAUCAAGACUUCAUGACUGAUGUCAUCAAAUGCAGGAAAAGGGAGAAAAAAUAAAAUAGAGGGUCAAUGUUGAGAUUUAAACACCUGACCUCCAAG